GUCGAGUGCGUAGCUCUCUGUAGCAAUACAGGGAAUGGGCGCUUUGCGCCCGGGUGCGUAAUUGAGAUUGGGCAAUCUGCCCUUGGAUGGGGAAUAACCCCGCGAAAGCGGGGCUAAUACCGCAUAACACUCCUGGAACCGUGGCUCCGGAAAUCAAAGCCGUAAGGCGUCCGAGGUGGAGCCCGCGCCCGAUUAGCUUGUUGGCGAGGUAUUUGCUCACCAAGGCCUCGAUCGGUAGCCGGUCUGAGAGGAUGGCUUUUCCGACACUGGAACUGAGAUUGAGAUGUCCAGACUCCUUUUGGAGGCAGCAGUGGGGAAUCUUGCGCAAUGGGCGAAAGCCUGUUUCAGCGUUUCCGCGUGGGGGAUGAAGCCUCUCGGAGUGUAAACCCCCUCCGACCGGGUUUAAUGCCUCGCAAGAGGAGUGUUUGUACCGGUAUAAGAAGCCCCGGCUAAUUGAGAUUUGCCAGCAGCCGCGGUAAGUUUUAGGGGGCCAGCGUUGCUCGGAAUAACUGGGCGUAAAGGGUCUGUAGGCGGUGCGGCAAGUCGGGAGUGAAACUCCUGGGCUUAACCCAGGGACUGCUUCCGAAACUGCCGUGCUCGAGUGCGAGAGAGGUGAGUGGAAUUGCAGGUGUAGCGGUGAAAUGCGUAGAUAUCUGCAGGAACACCCGUGGCGAAAGCGGCUCACUGGAUCGCAACUGUUUCUGAGAGUUUAAAGCUAGGGGAGCAAACAGGAUUAGAUACCCUGGUAGUCCUAGCCCUAAA
RNAcentral lists this ribosomal RNA (762 nucleotides) under uncultured bacterium. RNAcentral describes it as "bacterial SSU rRNA". It matches the Rfam family "Bacterial small subunit ribosomal RNA", at positions 61 to 806 of the family's 1533-position model. The record is from RNAcentral.